GGCCGGGUGGCGCGCAGCCAUACAAGACCCUGCAAGGGGAAAGCUGCGGGCGGCCCUACGACCGUGUUGAAGCACCCGGUCGCCUCUC
Molecule: non-coding RNA, 88 nt
Filed under: Stenotrophomonas maltophilia
Lineage: Bacteria; Pseudomonadati; Pseudomonadota; Gammaproteobacteria; Lysobacterales; Lysobacteraceae
Description: sRNA-Xcc1
Rfam family: sRNA-Xcc1
Source: RNAcentral